AGAGUUUGAUCCUGGCUCAGGAUGAACGCUGGCGGUAUGCUUAACACAUGCAAGUCGAACGAACUCUUCGGAGUUAGUGGCGGACGGGUGAGUAACGCGUGAGAAUCUAGCUUCAGGUCGGGGACAACCACUGGAAACGGUGGCUAAUACCGGAUGUGCCGAAAGGUGAAAGAUUUAUUGCCUGAAGAUGAGCUCGCGUCUGAUUAGCUAGUUGGUAGUGUAAGAGACUACCAAGGCGACGAUCAGUAGCUGGUCUGAGAGGAUGAUCAGCCACACUGGGACUGAGACACGGCCCAGACUCCUACGGGAGGCAGCAGUGGGGAAUUUUCCGCAAUGGGCGAAAGCCUGACGGAGCAAUACCGCGUGAGGGAGGGAGGCUCUUGGGUUGUAAACCUCUUUUCUCAAGGAAGAACACAAUGACGGUACUUGAGGAAUAAGCAUCGGCUAACUCCGUGCCAGCAGCCGCGGUAAUACGGAGGAUGCAAGCGUUAUCCGGAAUGAUUGGGCGUAAAGCGUCCGCAGGUGGCAAUGUAAGUCUGCUGUUAAAGAGCAAAGCUCAACUUUGUAAGAGCAGUGGAAACUACAUAGCUAGAGUACGUUCGGGGUAGAGGGAAUUCCUGGUGUAGCGGUGAAAUGCGUAGAUAUCAGGAAGAACACCGGUGGCGAAAGCGCUCUACUAGGCCUGUACUGACACUGAGGGACGAAAGCUAGGGGAGCGAAUGGGAUUAGAUACCCCAGUAGUCCUAGCCGUAAACGAUGGAUACUAGGCGUGGCUUGUAUCGACCCGAGCCGUGCCGUAGCUAACGCGUUAAGUAUCCCGCCUGGGGAGUACGCACGCAAGUGUGAAACUCAAAGGAAUUGACGGGGGCCCGCACAAGCGGUGGAGUAUGUGGUUUAAUUCGAUGCAACGCGAAGAACCUUACCAAGACUUGACAUGUUGCGAAUCCUUGUGAAAGCAGGGAGUGCCUUCGGGAGCGCAAACACAGGUGGUGCAUGGCUGUCGUCAGCUCGUGUCGUGAGAUGUUGGGUUAAGUCCCGCAACGAGCGCAACCCUCGUUUUUAGUUGCCAGCAUUAAGUUGGGCACUCUAGAGAGACUGCCGGUGACAAACCGGAGGAAGGUGGGGAUGACGUCAAGUCAGCAUGCCCCUUACGUCUUGGGCUACACACGUACUACAAUGCUACGGACAAAGGGCAGCAAGCUAGUGAUAGCAAGCAAAUCUCAGAAACCGUGGCUCAGUUCAGAUCGAAGGCUGCAACUCGCCUUCGUGAAGGAGGAAUCGCUAGUAAUUGCAGGUCAGCAUACUGCAGUGAAUUCGUUCCCGGGCCUUGUACACACCGCCCGUCACACCAUGGAAGCUGGCAACGCCCGAAGUCAUUACUCCAACUGUUCGCAGAGGAGGAUGCCUAAGGCAGUGCUGGUGACUGGGGUGAAGUCGUAACAAGGUAGCCGUACCGGAAGGUGUGGCUGGAUCACCUCCUUUUAGGGAGACCGAAUCCACUCAAAUAUCGAAAACAUUCAGUGAAUAGAUAAUGAGAUGGUCAUUCCUAGGUCGGUCGAGAUUGGUUAAAGCUUUCAAAGUAUUUAAGUUCGGUUUAAGAACGAUUGAAACUAGAGGAAAUAGUAAUUCAGCAACAUGGCGAGAGCCAGACUGCUGGGUAUUAUCCAGCCAGAACCUUGAAAACUGCAUAGUAACGCGAAUAUAGCAGGCAGAUACAGACAUUCAAGAAGUGAAUGUGUUUGCAGUGGUGAACACCAAUUGUUUAGUGGUCAAGCUAAUAAGGGCUGAUGGUGGAUACCUAGGCACACAGAGGCGAAG
This 1818-nucleotide ribosomal RNA is filed under the name Calothrix sp. CHAB TP201519. RNAcentral's name for it is "bacterial SSU rRNA". The stretch from base 1 to 1482 matches the Rfam family "Bacterial small subunit ribosomal RNA". Lineage: Bacteria; Bacillati; Cyanobacteriota; Cyanophyceae; Nostocales; Calotrichaceae. The record is from RNAcentral.